Long non-coding RNA from Terrapene triunguis (Three-toed box turtle), 1321 nucleotides. RefSeq lists it as uncharacterized. The record is from RefSeq and is a predicted model, not a curated record. NCBI's taxonomy places the organism in Eukaryota, Metazoa, Chordata, Testudines, Emydidae. The transcript is spliced from 3 exons.
ACCUUCCUCUUAUCCCAUGACUGGCUACUUUGCUCAAGAGUGUUUUGUGGGGGUCCUUAUCAAAGGCUUUCUGAAAGCCCAAGAACAAUAUAUCCACUGAAUCACCAUUGUCCACUUACUUGUUGACAUCCUCACAGAAUUCUAAUAGAUUGGCUGAUGUCAACAUCCCCCUUUACUGCCCCAGCGAAAUGUGAAGACGAUGUUAAUUUGCAUUUGCUGUGUGCAAGUAACACAUUCCAGAUAAUCGUGGAUAUUCUGGAUCGAUAUGGCAAGUGCAUUGAGACUGCAGCAACACAUUUAAAACCUUAUAAAAGGUUAUUUAGUUGCUAACAGUGCAGCAGUUUCUGCAAAGCCUGCCAAAAGGUUACAGCUUUUUGGGCAUCAUAAAUUACAGACGACAGGGGAAAAAAGUAAGUGCGGUUUUCUUUAUUGUCUCAAUGAUGGAUGGGCUCCUGAACAAGACACAAAAUACAUCAUAUCACCUUUAAUGGGUCCACAUUUCUGUAGCCAUAACUCACAAUUUUAAAAUAGAAAAUGGUGAAAUAUGGCGUUGUAUAUUCCACUCCUGACAUAUUUAUGAGUCCUUCCCUUCUUAUAAAUACAGUGAUUGCUAUUUCAAAGCACCAUGUCAGGUAUGAACAGAGCGCAAACAGCUGGUGCGGUUGAAAAAUUAUAGCCAGAGUUGGACGUUUUCAAAAACUCUCUCUAGCAGCAGUAAAUUUACAGUGUUUGCACUAACUGUUAUUAAAACCAAAUCCAUAGCUUGGCAACAGGAAUCCAUUGCUGUGUAACAGCUGGAGUGACAGCGCUGCAUGACAGCUGGGGAGAGCUGGAAGGCUGGUGCUACACCCGUGUGAAAACCCAUUUCAAGGGGAUCAUCAACGUUCUCCAUCCCAGCCUGUGCAGUCCCCAGCAGUCUGUGGGCUGUGAGUUGGACUGUUGGGAGAAUGACAGCAGCAUAGUUUAUCUUCUGCCUGGCCCCAUGUUUUUAAUCUUUUCUUUUCAAAAGCCUUUCCUCUGACUGCUGAGACUCGCCUCAUCCCAAACUCGUGGGCGUGUCUGACUCGGCCUUCAUGCAAAUACAGCCUGAUUAGGUCCCAAUCCUGCAAGCUGGGGCCCAGCACCCUGAGACAGCAGUGAAGUCACUUUCAACAGGUUUGGGAUCUAACAGCUACAUUUUCCAAAACACCACUGAGCUUGGUUACCUAAAGCGAGGGACUGCAGUUAGGGCAAUGUAUAUCCUGCAGCUGGAGGUGUGCUUCCCGGCCCACUUAGAUAGCCAUGCUAGGUCUGUGUGAGCUAAAAAUAGCAGCAUUGUUGU